AGAGCGAACGCUGGCGGCAGGCCUAACACAUGCAAGUCGAGCGCCCGUAGCAAUACGGGAGCGGCAGACGGGAUAGUAACACGUGGGAACGCGCCCUUCGGUUCGGAAUAACUCAGGGAAACUUGAGCUAAUACCGAAUACGCCCUUACGGGGAAAGAUUUAUUGCCGAAGGAACGGCCCGCGUCCGAUUAGCUUGUUGGUGAGGUAGUGGCUCACCAAGGCGACGACGGGUAG
This 234-nucleotide ribosomal RNA is filed under the name uncultured bacterium. RNAcentral's name for it is "partial small subunit ribosomal RNA". It matches the Rfam family "Bacterial small subunit ribosomal RNA", at positions 26 to 286 of the family's 1533-position model. The record is from RNAcentral.